GCACGUUGUUUACAUGAUUGCAAAUCGA
Molecule: non-coding RNA, 28 nt
Filed under: Bombyx mori (domestic silkworm)
Lineage: Eukaryota; Metazoa; Arthropoda; Insecta; Lepidoptera; Bombycidae
Source: RNAcentral